RNAcentral lists this ribosomal RNA (468 nucleotides) under uncultured bacterium. Its description in RNAcentral is "partial 16S ribosomal RNA". It matches the Rfam family "Bacterial small subunit ribosomal RNA", at positions 28 to 507 of the family's 1533-position model. The record is from RNAcentral.
GACGAACGCUGGCGGCGUGCUUAACACAUGCAAGUCGAACGGAAAGGCCCUGCUUUUGUGGGGUGCUCGAGUGGCGAACGGGUGAGUAACACGUGAGUAACCUGCCCUUGACUUUGGGAUAACUUCAGGAAACUGGGGCGAAUACCGGAUAGGAGCUCCUGCUGCAUGGUGGGGGGUGGAAAGUUUCGGCGGUUGGGGAUGGACUCGCGGCUUAUCAGCUUGUUGGGGGGGUAGUGGCUUACCAAGGCUUUGACGGGUAGCCGGCCUGAGAGGUUUACCGGCCACAUUGGGCCUGAGAUACGGACCAGACUCCUACGGGAGGCAGCAGUGGGGAAUAUUGCACAAUGGGCGGAAGCCUGAUGCAGCAACGCCGCGUGCGGGAUGACGGCCUUCGGGUUGUAAACCGCUUUCGCCUGUGACGAAGCGUGAGUGACGGUAAUGGGUAAAGAAGCACCGGCUAACUACGUG